UGCAGUCGAGCGGAAGGCCCUUCGGGGUACUCGAGCGGCGAAGGGUGAGUAACACGUGAGUAAUCUGCCCCAGGCUCUGGGAUAGCCACCGGAAACGGUGAUUAAUACCGGAUACGACAACCGAUUGCAUGAUCUGGUUGUGGAAAGUUUUUCGGCCUGGGAUGUGCUCGCGGCCUAUCAGCUUGUUGGUGAGGUAAUGGCUCACCAAGGCUUCGACGGGUAGCCGGCCUGAGAGGGUGACCGGCCACACUGGGACUGAGACACGGCCCAGACUCCUACGGGAGGCAGCAGUGGGGAAUAUUGGACAAUGGGCGGAAGCCUGAUCCAGCAACGCCGCGUGAGGGAUGACGGCCUUCGGGUUGUAAACCUCUUUCAGCACAGACGAAGCGCAAGUGACGGUAUGUGCAGAAGAAGGACCGGCCAACUACGUGCCAGCAGCCGCGGUAAUACGUAGGGUCCGAGCGUUGUCCGGAAUUAUUGGGCGUAAAGGGCUCGUAGGCGGUCUGUCGCGUCGGGAGUGAAAACCAGGUGCUUAACACCUGGCCUGCUUUCGAUACGGGCAGACUAGAGGUACUCAGGGGAGAAUGGAAUUCCUGGUGUAGCGGUGAAAUGCGCAGAUAUCAGGAGGAACACCGGUGGCGAAGGCGGUUCUCUGGGAGUAUCCUGACGCUGAGGAGCGAAAGUGUGGGGGAGCGAACAGGA
This 702-nucleotide ribosomal RNA is filed under the name Nocardioides sp. Its description in RNAcentral is "bacterial SSU rRNA". It matches the Rfam family "Bacterial small subunit ribosomal RNA", at positions 56 to 777 of the family's 1533-position model. The record is from RNAcentral. Lineage: Bacteria; Bacillati; Actinomycetota; Actinomycetes; Propionibacteriales; Nocardioidaceae.